GACGAACGCUGGCGGCGUGCUUAAUACAUGCAAGUCAACUUGACUUUAGAUAGCAAUAUCGAAAAGUAGGGUGGCGCACGGGUGCGUAACGCGUAGGUAAUCUGCCCUGAGGUCUGACAUAACCCGUCGAAAGGCGGCUAACAUCAGAUGAUAUAUAAUCACGACAUCGUGGAAAUAUCAAAUCUUCGGAGCCUUGGGAUGAGCCUGCGUCUGAUUAGGGUAGUUGGCGGAGUAAUAGCCCACCAAGCCUACGAUCAGUAGCUGGUCUGAGAGGAUGAUCAGCCACACUGGAACUGAGACACGGUCCAGACUCCUACGGGAGGCAGCAGUAAGGAAUAUUGCUCAAUGGGGGAAACCCUGAAGCAGCAACGCCGCGUGAAGGAUGAAAAUACUUUUGUAUGUAAACUUCUGUAAGAUGGGAAAAAUAUUACUCCUCGGGAGAAUUGAUUGUACCAUCAGAGUAAGCCCCGGCUAACUACGUGCCAGCAGCCG
Molecule: ribosomal RNA, 492 nt
Filed under: uncultured bacterium
Lineage: Bacteria
Description: bacterial SSU rRNA
Rfam family: Bacterial small subunit ribosomal RNA
Source: RNAcentral